This 1355-nucleotide long non-coding RNA is filed under the name Salmo trutta (river trout). Its description in RNAcentral is "lncRNA (ENSSTUG00000014388.1)". The record is from RNAcentral. Lineage: Eukaryota; Metazoa; Chordata; Actinopteri; Salmoniformes; Salmonidae.
ACUUACAUGAGAAAUGGACCUGGGCCACAAGGUCGAACAUUGUAUGACCGAGUUAUCAGGGCCUGUAACCACCAACUUGGAGUUGGGCCCCCGGACAGUGACCAUAUUGCUGGACUCAUAAAGCUGGUGGAGCUUGCACUCAGGGGGUAUGACAUCUCAGGGGAGCUUGGUGUGCAAAGCACCCCUUUGUAUAUGGAGAAAAUCACCUUUCAUGUACUCAAGAAACUGGGCUCCUUGGGAGUGUACCAUCCAUGUAGCUACUUGGGAAGCCUACUCUACCAGAGGUUGGCUCCAGCUCCACAGGUAAAGGAUGGAUGAUAGAGUACUAGUACAGUACUUCCUAUUAUAGUAACUGUAGUCAGCUGUUUUUACAUCAUCUCUGAUUGUGUCUUCUCAAUCUCUUGUUGAAUGUGUCUUCCUUCCUCUUGUGUGCCCCAUAGACAGAAGACUACUGUGUGCUUGUACGCAGCUGCUUUGCUGUACUGUGGAAUGGACUGUCUGCAGCACAAGACGGCGCCUGCCUAAACCCCAGGGACAAAUUCUGCUGCCAGUUGCAAGCCCUGAGCUUCCUGCUGCUGCUGGACAGGGAGAGAACCUCACCCCCCUCCUGCUCCAAAACCCCCAUGUACGUGGAAGACGCCCUGACUGAGUUUGAGAAGGGCUGUGGGACCCUGACUAAGGAGGAUGCCUCCUUGAUCUUGGAGGAGACCCAUCGUCAUCUCCUGUCCCCCUGGGCUGGGGGAUGGGGCGGGGAUGGGCAGCCUUCGGGGAGGCCCUGCCUCUCUACACUCUGUGAGGUGGUGCUGAUCACCUCAAAGCUUCUGUCUAAGGCAGGUUUCUGGAGCCUGGCUGAAGGGCUGGUGGGUGGAGCCCUGGGAAAGGUCAGGAACUCUACAGACGGCCUCAGCCCAGCUCUGGUGCUUGGCAGGCUGGCAGUAGACAUCCACCGUUCCAUGAGCUCUGGAGUGGAGAGUGGACAGGCUUUUACAGAGUGUGCCCGGACCCUCCGGUCUCUCCCUAACACCCUUGGGGACCGGCAGGCCCAUGUGAUCCUGGAGGGGUGCAGUCUGGUGGUAUGGGCAGUGGAGGCAGGGCAGAGCAAGGGGCUAAGUGGAGCUGUGCUCCUGGCCUGGUUCUCAUUCCUGGAAGAGCAUCAGGAAUUCAUGCAGAAGAAAUUACAGAAGGACUUGGGAUCACAGUCUGAGGAGAGCCGACUUCAGCAGUCCCUAUGCUUCAGCAUGUACCAAGGCUUUGUGUUUUCUUAUGAGAGCAUGCUGGCCUCACAGGUAAGGAGGGUUUCACCCCAAACUAGUUUUAUCCUUAAGUUACAGAGGAGUACUGUUUCAGUAGCUGCU